GGGAAGAACCGACAGAAGUUGGGUUUACAUUCUUUACGACACGUAGAGGUGGGCAAACACUUUAUCAAAAUGAAGCUAGAGACUGAGUUGAUUGAGUUGCCGCAUGUUUGAUCAGAAGAGCAGCUAACGUGAAUGGGGAGAAAGGGGGAAACAUGCUUCUGGUUUAUUUAUUGUUCUUUUUUGUGUGGGAAUAUAAUAAAGAAAAUGGUAUAG
This 213-nucleotide long non-coding RNA is filed under the name Helianthus annuus (common sunflower). Its description in RNAcentral is "hypothetical non coding rna". The record is from RNAcentral. Lineage: Eukaryota; Viridiplantae; Streptophyta; Magnoliopsida; Asterales; Asteraceae.